CAGUGAGUGGCGAACGGGUGAGUAACACGUGGACAACCUGCCUCAAGGCUGGGGAUAACAUUUGGAAACAGAUGCUAAUACCGAAUAAAACUUAGUGUCGCAUGACACAAAGUUAAAAGGCGCUUCGGCGUCACCUAGAGAUGGAUCCGCGGUGCAUUAGUUAGUUGGUGGGGUAAAGGCCUACCAAGACAAUGAUGCAUAGCCGAGUUGAGAGACUGAUCGGCCACAUUGGGACUGAGACACGGCCCAAACUCCUACGGGAGGCUGCAGUAGGGAAUCUUCCACAAUGGGCGAAAGCCUGAUGGAGCAACGCCGCGUGUGUGAUGAAGGCUUUCGGGUCGUAAAGCACUGUUGUAUGGGAAGAACAGCUAGAAUAGGAAAUGAUUUUAGUUUGACGGUACCAUACCAGAAAGGGACGGCUAAAUACGUGCCAGCAGCCGCGGUAAUACGUAUGUCCCGAGCGUUAUCCGGAUUUAUUGGGCGUAAAGCGAGCGCAGACGGUUUAUUAAGUCUGAUGUGAAAGCCCGGAGCUCAACUCCGGAAUGGCAUUGGAAACUGGUUAACUUGAGUGCAGUAGAGGUAAGUGGAACUCCAUGUGUAGCGGUGGAAUGCGUAGAUAUAUGGAAGAACACCAGUGGCGAAGGCGGCUUACUGGACUGCAACUGACGUUGAGGCUCGAAAGUGUGGGUAGCAAACAGGAUUAGAUACCCUGGUAGUCCACACCGUAAACGAUGAACACUAGGUGUUAGGAGGUUUCCGCCUCUUAGUGCCGAAGCUAACGCAUUAAGUGUUCCGCCUGGGGAGUACGACCGCAAGGUUGAAACUCAAAGGAAUUGACGGGACCCGCACAAGCGUGGAGCAUGUGGUUUAAUUCGAAGCAACGCGAGAACCUUACCAGGUCUUGACAUCCUUUGAAGCUUUUAGAAGAUAGAAGUGUUCUCUUCGGAGACAAAGUGACAGGUGGUGCAUGGUCGUCGUCAGCUCGUGUCGUGAGAUGUUGGGUUAAGUCCCGCACCGAGGCGCACCCUUUAUUGUUAGUUGCCAGCAUCAGAUGGCACCUCCUAGCG
RNAcentral lists this ribosomal RNA (1067 nucleotides) under Leuconostoc mesenteroides. RNAcentral describes it as "bacterial SSU rRNA". It matches the Rfam family "Bacterial small subunit ribosomal RNA", at positions 89 to 1145 of the family's 1533-position model. The record is from RNAcentral. Lineage: Bacteria; Bacillati; Bacillota; Bacilli; Lactobacillales; Lactobacillaceae.